Molecule: ribosomal RNA, 484 nt
Filed under: uncultured bacterium
Lineage: Bacteria
Description: partial 16S ribosomal RNA
Rfam family: Bacterial small subunit ribosomal RNA
Source: RNAcentral
AUUGAACGCUGGCGGCAGGCCUAACACAUGCAAGUCGAGCGGAUGAAGGGAGCUUGCUCCUGGAUUCAGCGGCGGACGGGUGAGUAAUGCCUAGGAAUCUGCCUGGUAGUGGGGGAUAACGUCCGGAAACGGGCGCUAAUACCGCAUACGUCCUGAGGGAGAAAGUGGGGGAUCUUCGGACCUCACGCUAUCAGAUGAGCCUAGGUCGGAUUAGCUAGUUGGUGGGGUAAAGGCCUACCAAGGCGACGAUCCGUAACUGGUCUGAGAGGAUGAUCAGUCACACUGGAACUGAGACACGGUCCAGACUCCUACGGGAGGCAGCGGUUGGGAAUAUUGGACGAUGGGCGAAAGCCUGAUCCAGCCAUGCCGCGUGUGUGAAGAGGGUCUUCGGAUUGUAAAGCACUUUAAGUUGGGAGGAAGGGCAGUAAGUUAAUACCUUGCUGUUUUGACGUUACCAACAGAAUAAGCACCGGCUAACUUCGUG